Molecule: small RNA, 160 nt
Filed under: Acinetobacter towneri
Lineage: Bacteria; Pseudomonadati; Pseudomonadota; Gammaproteobacteria; Moraxellales; Moraxellaceae
Description: Manganese sequence
Rfam family: Manganese Mn2+ riboswitch aptamer (yybP-ykoY)
About the family: This RNA was originally discovered in E. coli during a large scale screen and was named SraF. The family was later found to exist upstream of related families of protein genes in many bacteria, including the the yybP and ykoK genes in B. subtilis. The specific functions of these proteins are unknown, but this structured RNA element may be involved in their genetic regulation as a riboswitch.
Source: RNAcentral
CUUUACUUCAUUGGGGAGUAGCCGCUUUUUACUCAUUUCUGUUUCAACUGAAUGUAGUAAAAAGGUGAUGGUCAACAUAUUUGUUCCACAGAACAUGGUCAUCAUAGCAAAGAACCAAGUCAGCUUUAUCAAGCUUUCUUUUGUUGGCAAGACCUUUGAU